UGGGGAAUAUUGGACAAUGGGCGCAAGCCUGAUCCAGCAAUGCCGCGUGAGUGAUGAAGGCCUUAGGGUUGUAAAGCUCUUUCGCACGCGACGAUGAUGACGGUAGCGUGAGAAGAAGCCCCGGCUAACUUCGUGCCAGCAGCCGCGGUAAUACGAAGGGGGCUAGCGUUGUUCGGAAUUACUGGGCGUAAAGGGCGCGUAGGCGGCCUGUUUAGUCAGAAGUGAAAGCCCCGGGCUCAACCUGGGAAUAGCUUUUGAUACUGGCAGGCUUGAGUUCCGGAGAGGAUGGUGGAAUUCCCAGUGUAGAGGUGAAAUUCGUAGAUAUUGGGAAGAACACCGGUGGCGAAGGCGGCCAUCUGGACGGACACUGACGCUGAGGCGCGAAAGCGUGGGGAGCAAACAGAUUAGAUACCCUGGUAGUCCACGCCGUAAACGAUGAAUGCUAGACGUCGGGGUGCAUGCACUUCGGUGUCGCCGCUAACGCAUUAAGCAUUCCGCCUGGGGAGUACGGCCGCAAGAUUAAAACUUAAAUGAAUUGACGGGGUCAUAGCUGUUUCCU
This 559-nucleotide ribosomal RNA is filed under the name uncultured bacterium. Its description in RNAcentral is "partial 16S ribosomal RNA". It matches the Rfam family "Bacterial small subunit ribosomal RNA", at positions 355 to 1375 of the family's 1533-position model. The record is from RNAcentral.